CCUACGGGUGGCAGCAGUCGAGAAUCAUUCACAAUGGGGGAAACCCUGAUGGUGCGACGCCGCGUGGGGGAAUGAAGGUCUUCGGAUUGUAAAACCCUGUCAUGUGGGAGCAAAUUAAAAAGAUAGUACCACAAGAGGAAGAGACGGCUAACUCUGUGCCAGCAGCCGCGGUAAUACAGAGGUCUCAAGCGUUGUUCGGAAUCACUGGGCGUAAGGCGUGCGUAGGCUGUUUCGUAAGUCGUGUGUGAAAGGCGCGGGCUCAACCCGCGGACGGCACAUGAUACUGCGAGACUAGAGUAAUGGAGGGGGAACCGGAAUUCUCGGUGUAGCAGUGAAAUGCGUAGAUAUCGAGAGGAACACUCGUGGCGAAGGCGGGUUCCUGGACAUUAACUGACGCUGAGGCACGAAGGCCAGGGGAGCGAAAGGGAUUAGAUACCCCAGUAGUC
This 446-nucleotide ribosomal RNA is filed under the name uncultured bacterium. RNAcentral describes it as "partial 16S ribosomal RNA". It matches the Rfam family "Bacterial small subunit ribosomal RNA", at positions 338 to 795 of the family's 1533-position model. The record is from RNAcentral.